This is a long non-coding RNA of Trichechus manatus latirostris (Florida manatee), 1911 nucleotides long. RefSeq lists it as uncharacterized. Lineage: Eukaryota; Metazoa; Chordata; Mammalia; Sirenia; Trichechidae. The record is from RefSeq and is a predicted model, not a curated record. The transcript has 2 exons.
AGAAUAAAGCCAUGUUGUGAUGUAACCAGAGGGAAGGGGAAGCUCCUGGACUGAUAAGGGCCACAGCUUCCCUCUGAGCCUUGUUUUAAAAAGUCCUACACCAUAACCCCCUGACUUCUCUGAGCCUGAUCUGAGACCAUCAACUGGUUUCUCCCAUUCCAGGUGCUGACCAUAAGCAUCUCAAUACAGGAGCAGCCCCUCCCCUCCUCAUCUGGCACCAUGGCAAGAUCAACGCAGAUUUGCCUGGGAAAGGAUGUCAUGGCCAGCCCAGGUGUCCAGGGGCUGAAGACCUCAUGAGUGAUGCCAUGAAAACAACUACAAAACAACAACACAACGAUAAAAACAACUAAAGUUUGAUCAGACCAAUGAGCUGACUGCCUGACCAACCUCGGUGUCCUCACCUGGAACCUACACUUGCUGAGGUCCCUCUAGCUGCACCAUUCUACGUUGCCCAGCCCAGUUGUAGCUUCUCUGAGGCCUCUUUUUUCAAGGAUUUCCUGGAGAUGGUUAAGGAUGGGACUUGUCAUUAUCCUUAAACCUAAGGAGAUGGGGCAGCCUGCCCUGGAGACAGGGUGUCAUGAGCAGAAUAACACUUGGGGAGACCAGGAGGAAGCCUGGUUGUCAGCCACGGUGAUAGUAACUGAAGUGACAGUGGCUCAUGCAUCUCCCAUUUGAGAGGACCCCAUGUCAUGACCAUGGUGCUGUGAUGAGGAACACACAUUCCUGUGGAAUAGAGAGUAAACCUAGUCAACAGUACAUGGUCUGGAAGCUCCUCCCUGGAGAAAGGUCUCAGAACCACUGUGGGACUGUGAGCCUCACACCAAGGACAAGGACAUGAAUCACGAGUAAAAUGGGUAAAAUGUGUCUCUAUGCUUUGGGACUACAGACCUGUUCCCUCUGCCUUUCACUCCUGGUGGGAUCAGUGCAGAGAGUGAAUCAAGGAGGUAUAUAUCCAUCCUGCAUGGCCUGUCCCAUGUGUUAGCAUCACUGAGGAGAAGAGCCCUGGACAGGGACACAGUGGAAGCUUGUUCUCCUGGGGACUUGGGUGCAUUGGCUGGUGGUGGAGUCCUUGCAGGGGCUGCUGCUUAGGCUGAUUUCUUUGCCCUUUACUGUUUCCCGAGAAGGGUGAGGCUGGCCACAGUGUUGGUGGAAGAGAACGGGACACUCAGUAUCUGGGGUGGGUUAAGUGUUGGAGGAAGCUCUGAAGAGCAGGACAGUCCUGGCUGAAAUGAAGGAGGAGGAAGAUGAGGGACAUGGAAGGAACAGACAGAGCCAGACAUGCCCGUGGCAGUGAGCAGUGGGCAUUUAUGAGUUCACAGACCCAAAGAUCCAAGAGCUCCCAUGUGACCCAGAAGCAGGACCAGCACAUCUGAAACGCUCUCCUCUGAGCAGCACCAGAGUCAUCAAGAUACCCAAUUCCCGGGGUAGCUUUAGGAUCAGGCAGUCAGAGGGAGGGAAAAUGGGUCUCAGUCAUCUGGAGGCCAGGAGGCCAGGGUGGCUGAACAGCCUGAGAAUCUCAAGCAGGGUCCAGUCUCUGAAGAGAUUAUGGAUCAUUCAUUCAUUUCCACUCCAUUCCCUCCUUCCUUCCAUCCUUUAUCGAAGAGUAAUUGAGAGUUUGUUACAUGUUGAGUCUGUGCUAGUUGCAGGGUGUGCAGUGGGGAGUGAGAUAGCAAAGUCCUUUCCUUUAGGCUCCACUGGGAGAGACACACAGCACAUAAAUAAACAUAAAUGAUUUCACUCCAGUGCAGGGAGCAUGUGGAUUGGCUUUCUGGGGUGGAGGCCUGGACAUGCUUGCCACUGACUGAUUGUUGAUAUAAGUAAUUUAGUUCUAGAGCAAAACCGGAUUAAUCAUUCAUUUGCUCUGACCGCCUGCCUCCCCUAACAAAAAUCUCUUCCUUCGAUCUGGGGAUG